Molecule: long non-coding RNA, 8318 nt
Organism: Pangasianodon hypophthalmus (striped catfish)
Lineage: Eukaryota; Metazoa; Chordata; Actinopteri; Siluriformes; Pangasiidae
Exons: 2
Source: RefSeq, a predicted model, not a curated record
CCAGUGCGCGGAAUGGAGUCAUCUGAGGGAGACACACAAGUGCGCUUUGCUCCUUAAUAUCUGAACGUAUUAUAAAGCGGCUAAAGCAUGGAGUACCACGGGGCGGAAUUAAACGCGUUUUAUCAAGUUUUGCGCCCGGAGGCCUGAUUAUAAAAAUGUAAAUGACCUUCAAGACAACACAUAUAGAUAUUAACUUUGUUAUUUCCUUCAGUUCUACAUGAAUAAUGUUUUAUUCCGUUUGGGAUGACUGUAUGCCUGACCAAGUGGGUAAAUUGUUAAACACAUGACCAAUGAUGUUGUGUUUCUUUGGUGGUCAUACAUACAAAACUGUGGUAAAGGAGGACGAAUGAACACUUGAGAAGGCUGCACUAGAAGGAACAGUGCAACAAGGUGAAGUUGACAUUCUGUAAGGAAAACAACUAUUAUGGGACGCAGUGAGAAAGAUGAUGAUGAGUAUGUUAUGUUAUGUAAUGAGGAACAAGACCAUGUAAGGAUAAGACAUAGGGUGUUAUUAAAACAUAAUAAUUAUUGUAAUCUGUCACCCAAUAAGAUGUUGAUUUUCUUUGUUCUCUACAAUGUACAUAAUUCGUGAAUGUAACCAGAUAUACUACUGUUUUUCAUUUCAAUCCUCAUAGCACUCUGAGGUAAGAUAUGGUACAGUAGAAUAAGAGAGGCUACCCAGGCUCUUGAUGAUUGAAUUAUAUAUUUGCUUGAGCAUAUUCAAGUGUCAGCAGUGGUUUCUCGUUUUGCAUAUUCAAGUGUCAGCAGUGGUUUCUCGUUUUGCAACAUAUUUUUGGCAUCCCUGGGUGGGCUCCAACAUCUCAGUGGAGGUGAUGGCCUGAAAUAAAGAUUAAAGGAACACACAACUACAAAUUGGAAAAGAGUCAGAUUUUUCUCAGCAACUGAGACACUCUCCUGAACUUCAGCGGCUGCCCCACUGAGUGAUGGAGCCAUAAAUUCAGUCAGAGAGGUUGUCUUUGUAUCCACAGAUAACGGCACCUCCUCCUUACCCUCACGAGCGUCCAGAGCCUUCAUCCCUGUCAUCUACAGUCAGCUCGCUGUCUCCCUCAGCACCUCCAGCCCCCUUUAUGUCUUAACCAAAAACUGAUGAGGACUAAGAAACCAUGGGCGUAGAUUAACAGAAACUUGCUAAAGAAUUACUGACAUUAUCAACGGGCAGUGACAACAUGGAACCAGAAAAGCCAGCGACAUCUGGUGAGGGUCCAACUAAGUCAGGUACCACCAGGUCAAACUUCCAGUAUCAAUCCUCUCAGGGGCCCCUGCUACAUAUGCCCUGAACCAAUUGCCAAACCUGCGGGCUGUACAGACUAUCAAGGGUGGAGGGGUUCAUCCCCAAGGCAUGUAUGUUCACAGGCCACUCAAACUGUCAUUUUGAAACUGUAACUGACAUUACAAGUCCCAAGCUUAACUUUGCACAAUGCAAAGGACUUAAAGGAAUAAAGGAAACUCUCAAUGAUAUGGUCAGACUGCACAACCAGGAGAGAACUAAACUCAUGGCUAGUCUUUGAGCUCAAGUGGGAACAACUCUGACGAAGCAUGCAACACCCAUGGGAUCCAGCAGCAAAUACAUAUCCAAAUAGCUGUCCCACCAACUGGACACACCUGAUUUAAUCUGGAAUCUGGGAUACUUUCCUGGUAACCAGAGACUGGCAUAAAGUCAGUAAUUGCCUACACAGGACUGGAGAAACAGGGGAGGAAUUCAUUGACCUUUAACUGCAGCUGUGAACAAUCACAACUGGUUAGCGAUGAGGACAAAAAAGAAUACAUAAGGCAAGUCUUGGCUCAGAGAUUGGAUAAGAAGAUUGGUGUCAUGGCAAAGAGUUCCUGCACUGGCUGGCAAAACAAAGACUAUGAUCUGGUGGCUCAUGCUAUCCAUGCUUAAACAGAUAAACAGAGCAAGGCUCAAAACUCCCUUUAGAUGGCACAGCUUCAGUUUUAUCAAAGCGAAACACAGAAUGGAAGGGGAUCUGGUGAUUUUCGUGGAGGAUUUGGGUGAGGCCAAGUUCAAAAUCAUGGUAGAGGACGUGGUCGUUUUCAAGGUAGGGGCACUUAUGUUGCCUGUUUUCAUUGUGGCCAGCUAGGCCAUCUUAUUAAAAUUGUCCUCAACUGUCAAAUAAUCAAGAACAACAGGUUCUCAAAUUUUCUGUGGCAGCUCCAAAUCAGGAUAGGAUGAGGUGAGGGAACAGACUGCCUUAUAUCAAAAUUUACAGUUAACCACUGACUCUAAAAAAGAGCCAUUCAUUAAAUUAACUGUUAAAGGUAAACUAAUUCCCUUUCCAGUAGAUAUAGGAGCCACAUGUUCAGUGUUGUCUAAAACACUGUGUAGGAUUGUAAGGGAACAGGCAGCAAGGAAACCAAAAAACCAUGAGCCCCACCCACAGACUUUGUGGAGCCAAGUUAAUUACAGCUUCUUUACUGAUUGCUGGAUUUCAACUGUCCUGUCAACAAUUGACAAGUGAUAGGACAUCCCUGACAAGAACCCUCUCAACCAAGAGGAGCCCUGUCAAGCCUACUGAUUUAGGCCAUUGGCCAAGACCAGAUGGCUGGUCCACAGGAUAAGACCCAAGGACCUUCAGCCAUAAAUCUGCAAACUUAAGGCCAAAAAGGAGGGUGACUCACCCAGGGAGUCCUCAAGAAAGGCUUAACACAGGCUGAGGACUGUAAUGAGACCUUUGUUCUUCACAAAGUUCACCACCAUUCACACAUUCCACAGAACCCAGCUUUAACAAAUGCAUCAAGUUACCUUCCAUCUCCUGUAAGGCCAAUGACUUUUGGCCUUAAUGAUGCACCAUAGUUUGAAAAACUUGUUGCCUUUUUAAUGUCAUUCCUUAUAUGUAUCAUGCCUAUAGCCACCAGGUCAUUGUGAUGCUUUUGAUCAUUUAACAGGCAUCAAAGUGUUAAUGAGUCUAUCAAUAACAGCAGGUAUGUGAUGUUUGGUAUGUGUGUGUUCGCUAUUGAAUUUCCUAAGGGUUGGUAUAAUGUGAAUUCGAGUACAAUGUAUUAUAUGCAUGUUACCAUAUUCCUGGCCAAAGUUCUAACUUUACCUUGGAAAGUUAGAAAGAGCGCAUAACUCAGAGGCCAGUAUGCUAAUUAGUGUCAGAGGAGGAGAAUGCAGUUUGCUGAUUGGAGCAAGUACUUUGGGGUCAUCCCAACUGGAAAGGGUUAAACCCCCUGACACAAAGGAAAUCCUGAGUCUCUUCCAACAACAUCACCAGGAGAUCUCUCCACUAAGAGCUCCACGGGUCUCAUCCAUCCACAACUCAGGAGUCUCUUCCAACAUCUGCAGGAAUUCUCUUCCAUCAACAUCUUCAGGGAGCUCUCUUCUACAAACAUCUUCAGGAGUCUCUUCCAACAAGUCACCAGGAGUUCUCAUCAACCAAGAGCUUCAGAAGUUCUCAUUCCUUGACACCACAAGGAGAUCAUGCUUGUUCUGAGCCUCAGCCAAGUCUGUAACGACCGGUUCGUGUGAAGCCUCCCGACUCCAGUCGUAAUAGUACCAAAGAACUGCUGCAAUCCGUAAACCAAAAGCACCCUUCCUGCAAUCCGCCUCUGAGACUCCGCCGGGUACAUGCCUCAUUCCAGUCAUUAUCCUGAUUGGGCUUCCAAGACGCAUGUAAACGCAAGUACAGUGCCUCCAGAUUCUAGCUGAACUGGUGAAUUUAAUGUAAAGUUUAAAGCCCUUCUAAAUGAAACAAUGGUUAAACUGAUAAGUUAAUGGUUCGUUCCGGUCUUGGUCUGAGAAACAGCAUACACUCCUAGAAACUCGGGACUUCAUUCAUUCUCUGUUCAAAACUCUUCUCUGUUUGACCUUUAUGUGUGUGCAUCCAUGUGUUUGUGUUAGAUUAGUUUCUGUGUUUUCGAAUAGUAAUAAAGUCUCAUCUGAUUUUAAAGGCAAGUGUCUCUGUGCUUAUAAUUUAUUGCCUUAAACUGCCGAUCUUGUUACUGUGGUCUCGGUAUAGUGUUUUCGCUAUAUUUAGGAUAUUAUUGCUGGUGGCAAUUAACAAAUAUACUAAUUUCAGCUUAUCACUGGAUGAAUAGUUGUUCAGCUAUUAAAAUGUUAAGUUCGCAGAAUUUCCCGUUCUGAGCUGAUCUGCUAAUCUCCUACAUAUUUUGGUGGAGAAUGCAGGCAGCUUAAUCUAAACAUCUAAUUUCCCACAUGUGACAUUAAGUUCUGAUUCAGUUAUUACUGUAGGAUCAUCAGGGCUUCGUGUGGUUGAACCAUUUAGCCAGCCAUUAGCCACUAAACAAGGAACUAAGAUGAUUAAUCAGGUUGUCCAGUUAACCUUAUGGGUAAGACUUAUUAACAAGAUUCAGCAUCCAAACUUCAUGUCAAGGUAGAUGUACAUAAUCAUGAAAUUGGUCUGUUUUCACUGUGUCAUCCUGACCCAUGUUUUUACUCAUGGAAUGUCACAGACUGUGCUGUUUAUCAGUUUCUGUAUUCUGGGAUGAAUACCAAAGGUUGGGAAAUGCCUGAGUUUUUGCAUUGUACUAAUCUGUUCCUCCAGAUUAGUGGUCCUGAGGCCACUUAUGAGAAUGAAUGGUUUCCAGGACCUCUAAAUGAAACUCUAACAAUUAGCAACAUAUUUCAGAGCAAUCAAUUUAUAGGCAUGUCGAUACUGUGAGGAGCAAACUCUAUUUAGGAGGAGCAAACUCUAUUUAGAGCUGAGGAAAGUGUGCCUCAUAUCUCAAUGGCUAAAAAGGUAGGCAGUUGGAAGGAAGUUGGAAAAUGGGUUAAAACUGCUCUAACAUGUACUGAUUGGAUAGAUAGAUUCAGGGCCGGCACUAGCUAUAGGCAGAGCAGGCAAUUGCCUAGGGCCUCAAGGCUUGAGGGCGGGGCCUCCAUAACCGUAACAAACCUAUACUCAAAAGAAACAAAGAAAGCACAGCUCGUGAUGCAGGUAUUUGAGCUGUCAUCAUGUAUUUUUGAUUGUAAAUGUAUAUUAAAAUAAACGGAGCCUUAUUCUGCCGAUUAGCGUCAGCGCCAUUUGAAGAUGGAUCAUUAUUUGCAGCCGGUUUAUUCUCAGUUCAAAACAGCGCGAGCGCCGUGACACGUUAAAUUCAUGUAUGACGCUUUGAAUCCGAGCUGAUCGACUGUACAGUGAAUCAGUAGGAGCUGAUUUUCAAAAUACUAAAGAAAAUGUAAAAGUUUAAUAACAACAGCAAUCGCAGCUAGGCUAGACCAUUGUUUAUUAUUUCAAAAAAGUACCUCAACUGUCUGUAUAAAUUCCGUUGAUGUUUACAUUAUCAUAAUAACCUGCUUCAUACUUUUUUUUAGUUUUCAAAUAAGUUGUGCUGUUGUAUUUACUGAAUAAAUACAGUUUAAGCAUACAAAUACAAUUUAAGUUAACUAUUCUAAAUGCAAUAGAUAAUAUGACAGUCUAGCCUAUAUUGCUUCAGUAAGAGGGGGAAAUUGUGUCCAUCUCCAGCUAGAAAAAUGACAUCUUACCCUAGGCAAAAAUAUUUGUUAUCCCAAAUAGUGGGUAAGUGUGUUACUGUAAAUAAAUUACUGAGAAGAAGAGCUGGUCCAGAUGACCUUUCAUAUUUUUUUAGUGUUGACCUUAGUUAAAGUUUAAUUAAUAUGCACAUUUAAGUAAAUAUAUACAAGUAAUGAUAACAGGUUUUGUAUAAAUAAAAAGGCUAGAAAUUUUAUUUGUUUCAAGUGCUUUUUAUUUAUUCUGAAAUGUGCAGGGAAGGAGGCCAGGGGGCCUCCAAAUGUCUGGAACCGGCCCUGGAUAGAUUAACCCAGACAGCAUAAUCUCCAUUUCCAAGUUGCCUAAACCAUGCACCAAGAAGCAGGUUAUGUCCCUUCUUGGCAUGAUGAAUUAUUAUCCUGUUUGGAUACCUGAUUAUUUCACAACCAUUUUCAAAUUUGGCUCACAAACAUCCUCUUCAAGUGACUGACGCAGUCACUCAGACAGAGGAGGCUACGGCUGCUUUUGUGUGCCUUAAAACUGCUGGGGCUAGUUCUCCAUGCUUACGGAAGACUGAUUCUGACUAUUUCAAGCCAUGCAGGUUAUAUUUACAUGUCUGGUGUCAUAAAACCUUAUCACGUGGUUAAAAAUGGAAACCCGUUGCAUAUUAUUCUAAACAUCUUGAUUACUUAAUGCAUGGACAUCCACCCUGUAUGAGAUCUGACAGCUGCCACAGAAGCUGUCCUUUGUGCUUCUAAUUUAGUUGCUAUGCAUGACCUCAAGGUACAUGUGCCACAUGAUGUGCAUAAAAUUAUUACUAGCACUAGAACUAUGCAUUUGCCUAAUGCUAGACUGCUUACAAUCCAUAACAUGUUGUUUACUCUACAAAAAAUUACCAUAUACAGGUGUAUCAUUCUAAACCCAGCCACCCUACUCCCUACACUCGAAGAUGGUGUACCACACCCAGACCUGACUUGACUGAUGUUCCUAAUUUGAAUACUGAUUGUAUUUAUUUUGUUGAUGGUUCUAGUCUGAGACUGUCUCAUGGUUCACCUUCAUCUGCAUAUGCUGUAUUUGAUCAAUACUCUGUCACUGAGACUAUUCUUACAGAGGGUGAAACAUUGGCUGAUUUUACUGAGAGUAAUUAUGCUUUUGUAUGACACUGGGGUGUCGUAUGAACACCGACGGUUUCUCUCCUUGUCAGGCUAACCAAUUUCUCACAAAGUCCUGAUCAUAAAUUUGUUAGAAGCUGUCAAACUGCCUAAAUCUGUUUCAGUAUGUAAGUGCAAGGCACACACAUGAGAUUGGAAUUUAUUGAAUUUUCCCCUGUUCAAGGAUACAGUUAUUGCUUAAUGAUUGUUGAGAUGUUUUCAAAAUAUCCUGAAUGUUUUCCUUACAGGAAACAGGAUGCACUCACAGUGGCCGAACAACUGGUAAGUAAUACCUUGUUGGGGGAUCCCUAAGAAACUUUCUUCACAAAAUGGAACUCCGUUUGUUAAUAAUCACAUACCUGUUUGAAAAAUUAAACUUUGACUUAAAACAGCAUUGUGCCGACCACUGCCACUCAGCAGGGGCUGUGGAAAGAUUGAAUCAGACAGUGAAGCUAAAAUGAUCUAAAAUCAUGACAGAUACAGGCCUUAAUUGGGUUCAAGCACUAUAAUUGGUGCUCAUAUACCUUAGGGGAUGGGCAAAUAGACAAACAGGGCUAAGCCCUCUGGAAGUUUUUACAGGUUUCCUAAUGAGAUUAACUGCUUCUCUUCCUUUUUACGUCACCUCAGGUAGAAGGAUCCCUGCGGAUGAUCAAUUAGCCAAAUAUAUAUCUGAAUUGUGCAAAACUUUCGAGCAUGUAUGUUCACAGGUGAAAGAGGUGUUACCCACACCACUUGAAAGGUACCUACACAAUCUGAAAGUUGGAGACUGGGUGAUAGUGAAGGAGCAUAGAAGAAAAGCUUAGCACAGACCAAUGUGGUAUGGACCUUGGAGACUUCUACUGAUGACCUCAACAGCUGCCAGGGUCGCUGAAACAGACACCUGGGUCCAUUGCUCCCACUGUCGGAAAGAAAACUCAUCAGAUCUCACACCAGGCAGGCCUCUAACUCUGGUAGGGGCAGAAGAGUCUCCUAGCAAGACCAGCAGGGGUCUGGACUAGUGAGGAGUGCUUUUUGUACUAUUUUGCAGGUUGUUCUGACACUCUCCCGGGCGCACUCAUUGUAAGUCAAUGGAAGAGAGACAACUCAUACCGCAGAAACCGUUAUGUGGAGGGCUAGAGUAUCCCAGCAUCCAUUCUAAGGACAAGCAGAAAGACAUUGUGAUAAAGAAGUAGUUGUAUAGAGAUAUUUUAUAUUCUGUGUAAACAUCGAGGUCACAGACAUAGGAAUAUAUCUACUAGAGACUUUCAACUACAUUCACUACAUAACAUCUGUAAUAUUCAAGGUGGUCCUUGUCCUGACUUUAGAACACACACACAAACCUAUCAUACAGAGAAUUUACCCAUCCAUGUGGAAUCCCAGUUGUUAGCUCUAGCCAUAUUAACAGCAAAAGAAGGCGGCAUGUACAAAGGGUUUUUUUUUUCAAAGCAACAUUGGAUUGGAUCACCCUGAUUCAGAUCACCCUGAUCCACAAACUUUUCAAGAUUACCAAAUCUGACUUACCAGUGCUCUAAUUGGUACUACAUAUCACAGUGUAGGCUACUAGCUAUGUAAAGAACAACAGGUAGAAUAGCCAGCAUGGGGUCACUUUAAGUGUUUUUAUUUGAAGAGACAGAAAACAGCACAAUAAAACAGCACAAUAAAACAAUACAAACAUUCACUUUUUCACAGUCAGACCCCUCAUAUGACCCACAACAAAUAAAAACAAACAAGUGUACAUUAUUCACAAAUACAUUGU